GAGACAGGAAAUUUGUGGUAGAUGUUUAAAAUGGAAAUGUUUUUUUUAUUAAAAGGCACUGGUCAGUAUGGAUUUACAGAUGGAUUUAGGGGUCAUUACUUUUUCCCGUUAAGACUUUUCCAGAUGUUUUAGUGUCUUAUGGGAAAGGACUAAUUAUGGGAGAUUCAGAGUGUUUAAUAGUCACAGGGUUGCAGGUGUGAUUGCAGGGUACUGUAAGCGGUGCGUAACUGGUAGCAGGAAAGUCAGACGCAGGAGAGCAGAACUUGGUAAUAGCCGGAGCAGUUUAAAAUACAAAUAUGGGCACAAUAACCCGACGCGCACCAGUCAAACAAAUGUGCACAAGCACUUACAAUAAACAAUACCACACAAAGACAUGGGGGGAACAGAGGGUUAAAUACACAACACAUAAUGAGGGAAAUGAGAACCAGGUGUGUGGGAAACAAGACAAAACAAAUGGAAAUGGAUCGGCGAUGGCUAGAAGACCGGCGACGUCAACCGCCGAACACCGCCCGAACAAGGAGAGGCAUCGACUUCGGCAGAAGUCGUGACAGCUCCAGCCCGUCCUUGAAGAAGAGCUCUGCCCUUUUCUGUUUCCAGUGGCGUCGUCCAGACAGUCACCGCGUGCAUCUGCAUCCCAAGCGGCGUGCUUCAGCAAGGGUGCAGAACGUGCUGCGGAGGGAGUCCAGAGACUCAGCCGAGCUCAGAUGAAAAUCCUACGGAGGUUCAGUGGCUCCUCCUCAGCACUGAUGGCUACCUGCCACACCUAUAACAACACGUCCAGGCACAACGCUGUCAACAGGGACUUCAUGGCCGCUCUCUCCAAGAACCACGGGAGCACAGGAAAACGCAACAGUCCCCAGUCCACCAACAGAACCAAUGCCAUAGGCAUGCCAAAGUCUGCCCCCAAUGACAAGACACCCUGCAGUAUGCCAAGGUCGAUAUCCUCUGAGACCACCAGUUCCUCCUUGGCCUCCAAGCCCGCCAGUGUGAAGAAGUCUGCCUUGUCCCACCUCAAGAGGUUCCUCAUGCUGGAAGACAACCAGAAGACCAAGACCAAGGGGAGGACUCCGACUUACACUCCUCCUUCUGAAGACUGACAAACACUUGGCUCCACUGCAAUGACCAACAGUCAGCCAUUACACCACCAUGAUAUGACACUGACGCACCAGGCUCUCUCUGGCCUGCUUGCAAUUCAGAAUUGUCCUCUUGGAAUUCAGAACAACGGGGGAUGGGUCAGCAGUCAGUCAAUAAGUGAUACAGGGCCUCCUGUUGCACUAACUUUAAAAAAUAUAUAUUUUUUUUUACUUCCCAUGCCCCCCCCUCCCCCCAACUACCCCUGAGGUCCCCCUUCUGUAGAGCUGUUCAAACAUUAAUUGUCCCACACCACGGCAUCAUUCAGGAAUUCCAUUGUCCCUAUGAAUGGCGGGAACGGCAUCGGAAGCAAAGCUCCCCCUUUUCUUCCAUGUUAUUUAUGACGAGGCAAGCAGAAUAACUCAUUUCAAGUUAUAGGAUGUUUUGAUUGAGAGGAUGAUUUUAUUUAUUUGUUACAAUCACAUUUAUAUGAUAAAUGACAUACACAUUUAUAUUCAUGCUUAAGUUUCAUGCUUCUUGAAGUAUGUUUUUACUUGGUUGUCAUUUAUUUUCGUAGACUUAACUUUAUCUCACUCUUCUCUUGUGAGGUUACCAGCCAAGUAGAGCUGCUCUGUAGCUGUUUACAGGUUUGUUUGUGUGGCUCUACUAUUUUAUGAUCACUGCCAAAUGUUUUACUUUUAUGUAAAGGUCAAAUUUUUAUGUACUGGUGGUUUUGAGAUCAUAUUUGGCUGAAUGGGACGCAUCAACUGGUAACAUUGAUAUCGUUUAUAUGCCUGAACUUUAAUGACAAUGCAAACGUGACUUUCUUUCAGUAGUUUCAUGUUUGUUGAAGAUGGGUUUUGCUGUUUGAAGGCUUCAGUUUUUACCUGUUAGUUUUGAAAUUAUUAUAUAUAUUUUUUCAACGUUAGUUUAACAAUGUCUAUUAGACUGCUUUUGUUCCAACACACUUUCUAUUGUAUUUAGUGACAUGUUUAAUUAAUCCAAUGUGUGGGUCUGUAGCAUUUCACAGAAUACUGAAAUACCUCACAUUUUAUAUUCCUUUUACACCUUGCUUCUGUGAAAUAAAAAUGUUUUCUGGGCUUCUUAUUACUGUGUUACAUUAUAGAACUCCAAGAAGAUAUGUCAGUGUUGCAAUGCGAUCACGAUACUUAUCAAAAGUAUAAGUAACUUUUAAUUCCUUUAAGCAAACCAGACGGUGCCAUUUUGUUAUUCAUGGCUCACCAGGAGCACACUCCAACACUCGGACAUAAUUUACAAAUUGUGUGUUUAGUGAGUCCGUCAGCUCAGAGGCAGUAUGGAUGACCAG
RNAcentral lists this long non-coding RNA (2398 nucleotides) under Salmo salar (Atlantic salmon). RNAcentral's name for it is "lncRNA (ENSSSAG00000106201.1)". Lineage: Eukaryota; Metazoa; Chordata; Actinopteri; Salmoniformes; Salmonidae. The record is from RNAcentral.